CUCUCUGUUCCUGGCCUCACAUUCCACAGUGUACCACAACAGUAGCCAGAAGCAGCACUGGACUUUCUCUAGUGAGGAGCAUUUGGCACGAUUGUGGGCCAAUGCCAACCGCAAAUUCAAAUACAAGGCGGUGGCGAAUGGGAAGGUUCUUCCAAAUGAUCCAGUCUUCCUUGAGCCUCAUGAAGAAAUGACACUCUGCAAAUACUAUGAGAAAAGAUUAUUGGAAUUCUGUUCUGUGUUCAAGCCAGCAAUGCCAAGGUCUGUUGUGGCUCACUUGUGCAUUUUUGGCCUGCAAAGUAGAUGAAUUCAAUGUUUCUUUUUUUUUUUUACCUCAAGUCCUUUGGGAGAGUCCUCUUGGACAGGAGAAGGCACUUGAACAGAUUUUGGAAUAUGAACUGCUACUUACCCAGCAACUUAAUUUCCACCUUAUUGUCCAUAAUACUUACAGACCAUUUGAGGGCUUCCUCAUCGAUUUAAAGACUUGCUAUCCCAUGUUGGAGAAUCCAGAGAUUUUGAGGAAAACAGCUGAUGACUUUCUUAAUAGAAUUGCCUUGACAGAUGCAUACCUUUUAUACACACCUUCCCAAAUUGCCCUCACUGCCAUUUUAUCUAGUGCCUCUAGGGCUGGAAUUACUAUGGAAAGUAAUUUAUCAGAGAGUCUGAUGUUAAGAGAGAAUGGAUAUAACGAAAAGCCUGAGAAACUUAGUGAAGGAGUAUGAACCACCCAGAUCUGAAGAAGUCGCUGUUCUGAAACAGAAGUUAGAGCACUGCAAUUCUGUUGAGCUUGCACUUCAUGUAACUACGAAGAAGAGGAAAGGCUAUGAAGAUGAUGAUGAUGUCUCAAAGAAAUCCAAACACGAGGAGGAAGAAUGGACUGACGAUGACCUGGUAGAUUCCCCUUAACCAUUUGAAGUUGAAUUGUCAAUGCUGAUCAAGAGUAGGAAGAGUAUUGGACACUUCACUUUAUUUGAAAAUUAUAAU
Molecule: RNA transcript, 981 nt
Organism: Nycticebus coucang (slow loris)
Lineage: Eukaryota; Metazoa; Chordata; Mammalia; Primates; Lorisidae
Gene name: cyclin-H-like
Exons: 2
Source: RefSeq, a predicted model, not a curated record